RNAcentral lists this long non-coding RNA (236 nucleotides) under Salvia miltiorrhiza (redroot sage). RNAcentral's name for it is "long non-coding RNA (SMIL_LNC010225)". Lineage: Eukaryota; Viridiplantae; Streptophyta; Magnoliopsida; Lamiales; Lamiaceae. The record is from RNAcentral.
ACUCAUUUUACAAAAAUAAUUCAACUAUGAUUUUUUAUUUUCAUCAUAUAUAAUUUUAAUUUCAACUCUCUAACAAAGAUUUUCUCUCUCUAGCUUAUAAGCUCAAUUAUCCGAACACAUUAACAAUUUAUAAGCUCUUAAAAAACUACAUCUUAUGUCCCCAAGGGGACACCAAGCGAUGCGAACUCCUGUCUACGAACAGUCGAGGUCCAGGAUUCAAACCCCACCGCUCUCCC